This is a small nucleolar RNA of Aethina tumida (small hive beetle), 76 nucleotides long. Lineage: Eukaryota; Metazoa; Arthropoda; Insecta; Coleoptera; Nitidulidae. The record is from RefSeq and is a predicted model, not a curated record.
UUUUAUAUGAUGAGAUCUUAAUUAGCUGAAAUACUAUGACGUAAAUAUUAAUACGAGCUUUUUAACACUGAGUUUC